GUCCCAAGGAGAGACCGAAAGGUGUAUCCGAUGGCCAACAGGUUGAUAUUCCUGUACUAGAGUAUAUAGUGAUGGAGGGACGCAGUAGGCUAACUAAACCGGACGAUUGGAAGAGUCCGGCUAAGCAGUGAGGUGUAAGAUGAGUCAAAUGCUUAUCUUUAUAACAUUGAGCUGUGAUGGGGAGCGAAUUUUAGUAGCGAAGUUAGUGAUGUCACACUGCCAAGAAAAGCUUCUAGCGUUUAAUGAUACUCUACCCGUACCGCAAACCGACACAGGUAGUCGAGGCGAGUAGCCUCAGGUGAUCGAGAGAACUCUCGUUAAGGAACUCGGCAAAAUGACCCCGUAACUUCGGGAGAAGGGGUGCUGACUUAGGUCAGCCGCAGUGAAUAGGCCCAAGCAACUGUUUAUCAAAAACACAGCUCUCUGCUAAAUCGUAAGAUGAUGUAUAGGGGGUGACGCCUGCCCGGUGCUGGAAGGUUAAGAGGAGGGUUUAGCGCAAGCGAAGAUCUGAAUUGAAGCCCCAGUAAACGGCGGCCGUAACUAUAACGGUCCUAAGGUAGCGAAAUUCCUUGUCGGGUAAGUUCCGACCCGCACGAAAGGCGUAAUGAUUUGGGCACUGUCUCAACGAGAGACUCG
This 636-nucleotide ribosomal RNA is filed under the name Lacticaseibacillus rhamnosus. RNAcentral's name for it is "partial 23S ribosomal RNA". It matches the Rfam family "Bacterial large subunit ribosomal RNA", at positions 1388 to 2035 of the family's 2925-position model. Lineage: Bacteria; Bacillati; Bacillota; Bacilli; Lactobacillales; Lactobacillaceae. The record is from RNAcentral.